RNAcentral lists this non-coding RNA (26 nucleotides) under Rattus norvegicus (Norway rat). The record is from RNAcentral. Lineage: Eukaryota; Metazoa; Chordata; Mammalia; Rodentia; Muridae.
UAGCAUUUUGGUGUUUUGGUUGUUGA